Molecule: small nuclear RNA, 104 nt
Organism: Perognathus longimembris pacificus (Pacific pocket mouse)
Lineage: Eukaryota; Metazoa; Chordata; Mammalia; Rodentia; Heteromyidae
Source: RefSeq, a predicted model, not a curated record
GGAAACAUUUUAGUACAUAUACUAAAAUUGGAAAAAUAUAGAGAAAAUUAGUAUGGUCCUUGUGCAAGGGCAAUACACAAACUCAAGAAGCAGUCCAUUAAAAA